RNAcentral lists this ribosomal RNA (253 nucleotides) under uncultured bacterium. RNAcentral's name for it is "partial 16S ribosomal RNA". It matches the Rfam family "Bacterial small subunit ribosomal RNA", at positions 524 to 776 of the family's 1533-position model. The record is from RNAcentral.
GACGUAGGGCGCGAGCGUUGUCCGGAUUUAUUGGGCGUAAAGAGCUCGUAGGCGGCUUGUCGCGUCGAAUGUGAAAACUCGGGGCUCAACCCCGCGCUUGCAUUCGAUACGGGCAGGCUCGAGUUCGGUAGGGGAGACUGGAAUUCCUGGUGUAGCGGUGAAAUGCGCAGAUAUCAGGAGGAACACCGGUGGCGAAGGCGGGUCUCUGGGCCGAUACUGACGCUGAGGAGCGAAAGCGUGGGGGGCGAACAGG